RNAcentral lists this transfer RNA (71 nucleotides) under Candidatus Woesearchaeota archaeon. RNAcentral's name for it is "tRNA-Gly". It matches the Rfam family "tRNA". Rfam says of the family: Transfer RNA (tRNA) molecules are approximately 80 nucleotides in length. Their secondary structure includes four short double-helical elements and three loops (D, anti-codon, and T loops). Further hydrogen bonds mediate the characteristic L-shaped molecular structure. tRNAs have two regions of fundamental functional importance: the anti-codon, which is responsible for specific mRNA codon recognition, and the 3' end, to which the tRNAs corresponding amino acid is attached (by aminoacyl-tRNA synthetases). tRNAs cope with the degeneracy of the genetic code in two manners: having more than one tRNA (with a specific anti-codon) for a particular amino acid; and 'wobble' base-pairing, i.e. permitting non-standard base-pairing at the 3rd anti-codon position. The record is from RNAcentral. Lineage: Archaea; Nanobdellati; Candidatus Woesearchaeota.
GCGCUCGUGGUCUAGUGGUAUGAUCUUAGCCUUCCAAGCUAAUGGCGGGGGUUCAAUUCCCUCCGGGCGCA